GCCGGGGUACCCAAGCUAGGUAAGAUAUGCAUGAUUCCCUAAAAGGGGUCAGCCUCGAGAUCAAAAUAAUGAAUACCGAUGCGUAAGCUGAUGUUCGCAAGAACUCGUGGGUUCGAGUCCCACUCCCGGCG
This 131-nucleotide transfer RNA is filed under the name bacterium. RNAcentral's name for it is "tRNA-OTHER". The record is from RNAcentral.